AUGUCGAAGCCGUGUGACACCACCACAGCCGGAGUUGCCGUGCGUCAUCGUAGCCAUGCUCUCGCUGUGCAGCGCAGCCCCGCUGCCUCGGCCUCCAUGCGAAAAUAUAUAAUAGAACACCUGCACCCAGGCCCUUCCUAUCUAGCCAUCCAUUCUGCGCUUCGCGAUUCGUGCAAACACAUUUCUCUUUUUUGUUUCUCUUGCAUAAAACAUGUUUUGAAGUUCAAACCUUUGCAGUGUGGCAAAGCUUUCUAUCUAGAAUCUAGGAUAAAUCUUUCAGAUUUUUUGGUCAAAAAUAAAUAUACAAAAAAUGUUUAUUUUUGA
RNAcentral lists this ribosomal RNA (324 nucleotides) under Triticum aestivum (bread wheat). RNAcentral describes it as "partial small subunit ribosomal RNA". Lineage: Eukaryota; Viridiplantae; Streptophyta; Magnoliopsida; Poales; Poaceae. The record is from RNAcentral.